This 549-nucleotide ribosomal RNA is filed under the name Sporobolomyces roseus. RNAcentral's name for it is "eukaryotic LSU rRNA". It matches the Rfam family "Eukaryotic large subunit ribosomal RNA", at positions 92 to 655 of the family's 3401-position model. Lineage: Eukaryota; Fungi; Basidiomycota; Microbotryomycetes; Sporidiobolales; Sporidiobolaceae. The record is from RNAcentral.
AGCGAAGCGGGAAAAGCUCAAAUUUGUAAUCUGGCGUCUACGACGUCCGAGUUGUAAUCUCGAGAAGUGUUUUCCGUGAUAGACCGCAUACAAGUCUCUUGGAACAGAGCGUCAUAGUGGUGAGAACCCAGUACACGAUGCGGAUGCCUAUUACUUUGUGAUACACUUUCGAAGAGUCGAGUUGUUUGGGAAUGCAGCUCAAAUUGGGUGGUAAAUUCCAUCUAAAGCUAAAUAUUGGCGAGAGACCGAUAGCGAACAAGUACCGUGAGGGAAAGAUGAAAAGCACUUUGGAAAGAGAGUUAACAGUACGUGAAAUUGUUGGAAGGGAAACACAUGCAGCCAGACUUGCUAUUCGGGGCAACUCGAUUGGCAGGCCCGCAUCAGUUUUUCGGGGCGGAAAAUCAUAGAGAGAAGGUAGCAAUUUCGGUUGUGUUAUAGCUCUUUAUUGGAUUCGCCCUGGGGGACUGAGGAACGCAGCGUGCUUUUAGCAUAAGCUUCGGCUUAUCCACGCUUAGGAUGCGGGUGUAAUGGCUGUAUAUGACCCGUCUU